UGUGAGAUGCAGUGUAUGGAAUGUCAAAUUUCUAGUAUGAGAAAUUAACGAUUUAAGUCCUUCUUAAAUGAGGCCAUUUACCCAUAGAGGGUGCCAGGCCCGUAUAACGUUAAUGAUUACUAGAUGGCAUUUCCAAAGAGUCGUGUUGCUUGAUAGUGCAGCACUAAGUGGGUGGUAAACUCCAUCUAAAACUAAAUAUAACCAUGAGACCGAUAGUAAACAAGUACCGUGAGGGAAAGUUGAAAAGAACUCUGAAUAGAGAGUUAAAUAGUACGUGAAACUGCUUAGAGGUUAAGCCCGAUGAACCUGAAUAUCCAUUAUAGAAAAUUCAUCAUUAUGAUUUUAAUAUUAAUAAUAUUAUAAUAAUGGUGUGCAUUUUUUCUAUAACGGACAUUGUAAUCUAUUAACAUAAAUAUAUUUAUCAUAAGAUCAAUGAUGCGUAAGUUUAUUCAAAUUAUUUUGCUUGCAAUUUAACAUAGAAUAAAUGCUCUUGAUUUGAUAAAGUGUUGAUAGAUUUAUUGUAUAUAGUGCUUAAAUAUUUAUAUUUUAUAAUAGCAUAUUAAUCAUUGAUUUUUAUGUUUAUUAUAUGCACUUAUAUGAUUAACAAUGCGAAAGAUUCAGGAUACCUUCGGGACCCGUCUUGAAACACGGACCAAGGAGUCUAACAUAUUUGCAAGUUAUUGGGUAUCAAAACCUAAUAGCGAAAUUAACAUAACUUUAAUGGGAUUAGUUUUUAGAUUAUUUAUAGUCUAUUAAUUCAAUCCCGGGGCGUUCUAUAUAGUUAUGUAUAAUAAUAUUUAUAUUAUUUAUACCUCUAACUAGAGCGUACCUUGAGCAUAUAUGCUGUGACCCGAAAGAUGGUGAACUAUACUUGAUCAGGUUGAAGUCAGGGGAAACCCUGAUGGAAGACCGAAACAGUUCUGACGUGCAAAUCGA
RNAcentral lists this ribosomal RNA (936 nucleotides) under Sarcophaga bulgarica. Its description in RNAcentral is "eukaryotic LSU rRNA". It matches the Rfam family "Eukaryotic large subunit ribosomal RNA", at positions 137 to 901 of the family's 3401-position model. Lineage: Eukaryota; Metazoa; Arthropoda; Insecta; Diptera; Sarcophagidae. The record is from RNAcentral.